Molecule: long non-coding RNA, 260 nt
Organism: Drosophila ananassae
Lineage: Eukaryota; Metazoa; Arthropoda; Insecta; Diptera; Drosophilidae
Exons: 3
Source: RefSeq, a predicted model, not a curated record
UGUCGGACCAACCCCCAAAAAAAUUGAGGAAAGUUGUUUUCAACAUGGACGAUUUUGGUGGACUUUAAUAUUGACGGAGUGAAUGAAUCAUUAAGGGCGUUUCCAAAUAUUUUUAACACAGUAAUCAAGGCUAUCGAGUUGCUGGAAGAUACACAACCGCCUGAAAAAGCACUUGGGCUAGCGUUAUCAUGCAUUAAAAAUAUAUAUAGUAAAAAAAAUAUAAAAACAAAGAAUAAAUACUAAAAUUAUAUGAUAAAGGG